Molecule: long non-coding RNA, 1817 nt
Organism: Chloebia gouldiae (Gouldian finch)
Lineage: Eukaryota; Metazoa; Chordata; Aves; Passeriformes; Passeridae
Source: Ensembl
UUGUGAGGAAUAUCCCUGAAAUCUUGGUCUGUUCCUCAAGAACAGAGUGCAACAAGAGGAGCAAGGGCCCUGGGCACAGCCCUGUGGCUGUGGGGUCCCAGAGGUUGUGGUGUCCCCAGCCCUGCACAAAGACAGUAUCUGAAAUAAUCUGAAAUGUGGCAUAAGCAACCCGUGGGUGAAGGGCAUAUGGAAAUACAGCAGGAGACGUUUUCUAAUUGCAGAAGCAACCAACAUUAAAAAAGACCAUAAAGCAGAGAUUUGCAAGAAUGUGUAGCUUAAAAAUUCAGCAUGAAUUGGCAGUGGGGGUCCAUGACUAAUCGCAGAGGUCCAUUGUGUGAUCAAGUUUAAACUCUUGUUUAAUGAAAGUACUUCUCUGAAUAAGUUGCAUUGAAAGUACAGUAAAUAUCUCUGAAUAAAAUGUCCAGCCUUAAUAUACAACAUUUUAAAUGACAGAGAAAUCACCCCAACCUUUGGUAAAUAGUUCGAACACAUAAUUACGCUCUCUGUUUAAAACUGUCAUAGAAUUUCUAGCACAAAUUAAUCGGGGUGGAGUGUCUAAUUGCUGGUAACUGGAUCGGUUACAGUGUUGUGUGCCAAACUGGCAAGCUCUUAUUAUCAUAUUUCUUCUUGAUUAAGCCUUUGCAGGAAAGGAAUUGUGAUUUCCCUCACUGAGGGUCCACAGUGGCUCUGGGCCAGCCUGUGCUCCAGGGACGGUGUGGGGUGUGGAAACACUUGGGAGAUGGAGUCCCAGUGUGCUUCUGCUGCCAAGCUGGGAUGGGGAACCUUGUUCUCAGCAGGCUGUGGUGCCUUUUGGCACUGGGGGCAUUGUUGCUGGCUCUUGGCCUCAGGCUGCUCCCCCCUCAGCUCCACGCAGUCAGAGCCUGCCAUGGGAUAGCGGCUCUGGCUGGCAGGGUGCUGCCUGCCUGCUGGCCUCGGGGAGACCCACAGGAACAAUUUGGAAACCUGUUUAGCAGAGUUACAUUUGACAGCAAAGUAAAGUGGAAGCUCUGGGAGGCUGGGUCUGUGUUUCCUGCAGUGUUUUCCCAAGAGUCCCGUGCUAUGGCAACCAAAGGAGCUGCACCCUCUGGAGCUGGAGUGGGGCAGAGGGUGGAAGGAGUCCACGACUGCUGUCAGGGACCAGCCCUGCUGCAGCCGGCGCCCUGCCAGCGCGGGUGUUUAUCCAGCACUGCGGUGAGUCACGGGUGCCAUGCUCCACCAAAGCCACCUCCAGCAACCUCCCCAUGAGUCACUGCAGCCUGAGAGGACUUGCAACAAUUCCUGGGCCAUCAGAAGGAUGAUCUCAUUGCCUGCUGAGUGGAAUAAGGAUAAAGUCAUGUGGAACUCUGCUCUUGGAGCCAGGAACAUGGCAUCCCAGCAAAGAGCUUUCAGGUGACCUAAUCGGGCAUGUGAUUCAGCGUUACAGGACCAAACAGGGCAAAAAUCCUUCUCGCAGGGAAGGAAGGAAGGAAGGAAGGUACUGCAAUAUACAAGGAAUUAAUUUAAGGUGACUUUCAUAACAAAACUUGUAAGGCAAGAAGGAAUGAUAUGGCACAGGAUCUAUAAAGGACUUAAUUUUAAGCAAUUCCCUUUGCGUUGACUGUGUUUAUCUUCUUUUUUGAUUUCCAAGUGGUAUUGCCUAUUCCAAGUGAUCACAAUGUGAAGUCUGAUGAUGUAAUCUUUGCACACUGUGUCCAGCCCAUGGAGCUGAGUUACUCUGAUACUGGUUCAAACUUACUUGCCAAACCCAGCUGAAGGAUUUGCUCAAGCUUUUUUCUAGCUGAAAUAAAGUGCUUUUGCCUCUUCUAAAAAAUUAAUUU